This 465-nucleotide ribosomal RNA is filed under the name uncultured bacterium. RNAcentral's name for it is "partial 16S ribosomal RNA". It matches the Rfam family "Bacterial small subunit ribosomal RNA", at positions 28 to 507 of the family's 1533-position model. The record is from RNAcentral.
GAUGAACGCUGGCGGCGUGCUUAACACAUGCAAGUCGAACGGAAAGGCUCCUGCUUUCAGGGGUACUCGAGUGGCGAACGGGUGAGUAACACGUGGGUGAUCUGCCCUGCACUUCGGGAUAAGCCUGGGAAACUGGGUCUAAUACCGGAUAGGACCACAUUUUGGAUGGUGUGGUGGAAAGUUUUUCGGUGUGGGAUGAGCUCGCGGCCUAUCAGCUUGUUGGUGGGGUAAUGGCCUACCAAGGCGUCGACGGGUAGCCGGCCUGAGAGGGUGUACGGCCACAUUGGGACUGAGAUACGGCCCAGACUCCUACGGGAGGCAGCAGUGGGGAAUAUUGCACAAUGGGCGCAAGCCUGAUGCAGCGACGCCGCGUGGGGGAUGACGGCCUUCGGGUUGUAAACUCCUUUCGCUAGGGACGAAGCGCAAGUGACGGUACCUGGAGAAGAAGCACCGGCUAACUACGUG